Molecule: ribosomal RNA, 482 nt
Filed under: uncultured bacterium
Lineage: Bacteria
Description: partial 16S ribosomal RNA
Rfam family: Bacterial small subunit ribosomal RNA
Source: RNAcentral
AUUGAACGCUGGCGGCAGGCCUAACACAUGCAAGUCGAGCGGAUGAAGGGAGCUUGCUCCUGGAUUCAGCGGCGGACGGGUGAGUAAUGCCUAGGAAUCUGCCUGGUAGUGGGGGAUAACGUCCGGAAACGGGCGCUAAUACCGCAUACGUCCUGAGGGAGAAAGUGGGGGAUCUUCGGACCUCACGCUAUCAGAUGAGCCUAGGUCGGAUUAGCUAGUUGGUGGGGUAAAGGCCUACCAAGGCGACGAUCCGUAACUGGUCUGAGAGGGUGAUCAGUCACACUGGAACUGAGACCGGGUCCAGACUCCUACGAGGGGCAGCAGUGGAGAAUUGUGGACUAGGGGCGAACGCCUGAUCCAGCCAUGCCGCGUGUGUGAAGAAGGUCUUCGGAUUGUAAAGCACUUUAAGUUGGGAGAAAGGGCAGUAAGUUAAUACCUUGCUGUUUUGACGUUACCAACAGAAUAAGCACCGGCUAACUUCG